UUAAGACAAAGCCCUGCCAAGGUGACUGUGAAAGCCCAAGUCCAACAGUCUGCGUCCCUGAGUGACUAUGAUGAACAAAGGCCUGCAACUAACCUGCACUGGACAUACAAUAUCAGCAAGAAAACUUUCCUGUGUGAUGCUGCUGAGAUUUUCAGAGGCUUCCAGAUCAAGAGGAGCCACAUCUGGACACAAUACAGAAAG
This is a long non-coding RNA of Manis pentadactyla (Chinese pangolin), 201 nucleotides long. RefSeq lists it as uncharacterized. The record is from RefSeq and is a predicted model, not a curated record. NCBI's taxonomy places the organism in Eukaryota, Metazoa, Chordata, Mammalia, Pholidota, Manidae. The transcript is spliced from 3 exons.